Non-coding RNA from Suncus etruscus (white-toothed pygmy shrew), 406 nucleotides. RefSeq annotates it as small Cajal body-specific RNA 2. The record is from RefSeq and is a predicted model, not a curated record. Lineage: Eukaryota; Metazoa; Chordata; Mammalia; Eulipotyphla; Soricidae. The transcript has a single exon.
GCAUUUUGGGGUUAGUGUGGCCUGGGGUGUGGUUAGUGAUGAAUGUGUGAGCAUGAGUGUGAGUGAGUGUGCAAGGUAAGUGUGUGCGCCCACUCCUGCACCCGUUCCCCGCCUACACCUUGAUCUUAUUUGACCGGGUUGAUCGGGUCGAACCCUCCACCCCUCAGCCCUGUCGGGUUCAACCUGAGAUGAAAAAAACCCCCCUCCUGUGAAGCCCCCCUGCUUGGGCCCUGUGCAGUGAGGCCUACUGGAGGCAGUGGCACCAUCACCUGAGGCCUAGUUCGGUCACAGCCCAGAGUCCGUUCUGAGGGGGUCCGGUGCUCGGAUGUGAUGAAUUGAUCAGAUAGAGGAGGCCCGGAGUUUCGAUCCCCAGGCCGCUGAUUUAUCAAAGGCAAUUCUGAUCUGA